UACGGAGGGUGCAAGCGUUGUCCGGAUUUAUUGGGUUUAAAGGGUGCGUAGGCGGCUCUUUAAGUCAGUGGUGAAAGCCGACAGCUUAACUGUCGAAAUGCCAUUGAUACUGGGGAGCUUGAGUACAGUAGAGGUAGGCGGAAUUAAUGGUGUAGCGGUGAAAUGCAUAGAUACCAUUAAGAACACCGAUUGCGAAGGCAGCUUACUAUAGUGUAACUGACGCUGAGGCACGAAAGUGUGGGAUCAAACAGG
RNAcentral lists this ribosomal RNA (252 nucleotides) under uncultured bacterium. RNAcentral describes it as "partial 16S ribosomal RNA". It matches the Rfam family "Bacterial small subunit ribosomal RNA", at positions 524 to 776 of the family's 1533-position model. The record is from RNAcentral.